Molecule: ribosomal RNA, 384 nt
Filed under: uncultured bacterium
Lineage: Bacteria
Description: bacterial SSU rRNA
Rfam family: Bacterial small subunit ribosomal RNA
Source: RNAcentral
AUUGAACGCUGGCGGCAUGCCUUAUACAUGCAAGUCGAACGGCAGCACGGGAGCAAUCCUGGUGGCGAGUGGCGAACGGGUGAGUAAUAUAUCGGAACGUGCCCAGUCGUGGGGGAUAACGCAGCGAAAGCUGUGCUAAUACCGCAUACGAUCUAUGGAUGAAAGCGGGGGAUCGCAAGACCUCGCGCGAUUGGAGCGGCCGAUAUCAGAUUAGGUAGUUGGUGGGGUAAAGGCCCACCAAGCCGACGAUCUGUAGCUGGUCUGAGAGGACGACCAGCCACACUGGAACUGAGACACGGUCCAGACUCCUACGGGAGGCAGCAGUGGGGAAUUUUGGACAAUGGGCGCAAGCCUGAUCCAGCAAUGCCGCGUGCAGGAUGAAGG